RNAcentral lists this long non-coding RNA (2772 nucleotides) under Homo sapiens (human). RNAcentral describes it as "HSALNT0180829". The record is from RNAcentral. Lineage: Eukaryota; Metazoa; Chordata; Mammalia; Primates; Hominidae.
CCCGUGGAGGAAAGGGGUGGAGAGGCCCGCCCAGAGACCGAGGCUGCGAGUGUGCGCUGGCUGUUGAUUGCCAAGGCUUCAGGCACGCCUGGCCUCCACUUCCAGUGGUCUUUCCCUUUCUUUUUCUUCCUUCCUUUCCUUCUUUCUUCUCUUUUCUUUCUCUGUUUUUAUACAGACAAGGGGGCUGGCUCUGUCGCCUAGGCUGGAGUGCAAUGGCGCGACCACAGCUCACUGCAGCCUGGAACUCGUGGGCUCAGGAGAUCCUCCCGCCUCAGCCUCCCGAGUAGCUGGGACUGACUGUAGGCACACGACACCACGCUGGCUAAUUUAAUUUAUUAUUAUUAUUAUUAUUAUUAUUAUUAUUAUUAUUAUUACUAUUACUAUUUGUAGAGACGGGGUCUCCCUAUGUUGCCCAAGGUGGUCUUGAACUCCUGGUUUCAAGCAAUCCGCCCGCCUCGGCUUCCCAAAGUGCCGGGAUUACAGGCAUGAGCCACCGGGUCCGCCGCUCAGGUGUUUUUAAAGGACGUAGACCCGGUGGUGAUUGUUGUGGGACGAUGAAAGGGUCCGGCCCCAAGAUCGAUGUAGUUUAGGGAAAUAUCUUUUCCCAAGGAAUGUCUCCGAGUUUACAAGAUGAGCGCCAAGGUCACGCCCCCCGCCCUCCCUCACAGCCCUCUGUUCACAGCAGCACCGUUCUCUUGUGGCCGGUUUUGUUGCUUUUCUGCUUAGCAGCCUCCCUCACAGAACCGUGAUCCCCCCACCCCACACAUCCCUUUCCCCGCUUCCUCCCGCACUCCUCUUCUUCCAGCAGGUGUUUACAGAACAUCCACGGAGUUUGGGCCAAGCCCAGAGUGAGGAGCUGGGCACUGGGGUGGCAGAAGACCAGGCCUUGCCUUGAGCCCUUGUGCGAGCUUUACCUCAAAGCCUCUGUAAUCGAAGUGGGAGAAGGGGUGGUGGUGCGUGGUUGGUCUCAGCCACCUCCACCACUCCUCAGAAGAUGAACGCUGGAUCCAGGAAGAGAUUGUCAAGCCUCCCAAGCCCUGUGGGGACAGUGCACACAGACUAUGAUGGAUGCCUGAAGUGGGUUGCAUUACAAGAGAGGAGCACUGAGCUAAAGGAAUUUGCCUCUUUUAGGCUACACAGAAUUAAGCCUGCUCUUUGAAGGUGGGGAGAUGUUAUCUCAUCCCUCAAACGUUGCUUGCUACAAACACCGCCCAGAGAAAUGGACUGAUAAAGAGCUGGACAUUGGAGUGGCAGAACAGCAAGAAUGAUCAGAGAAGUUCAAGGGCCAUGGCAGAGAGCCUUUUCCAACAUAGUACAGUGUACUUAUACACUACAUAUGAAGGCCAGCUAAUCUAGUCUUGGGAGAACCAAGAGAGGCUUCUGAAAGAGAUGACAUCUAUGCCGAACCUUGAAGGUCAAACAGGAAUCAGCCACAUAAAGAGAAGGAGGAGAGCAUUCUGGAUAGCAGGAACAUCAUGUAUAAAACUUUGAAGUAAACGAUACACUCCGAGAAGUUUUUCAUUCCCUUUCACAUUCAUCUCCAUAUUGAACUCCAAUCUCAAACACCUAUAAUUAAAGUCAGUGUGUGACUCUGGAAGGUCUAGAUUCAAUACACUUCUGUGAAUUGCAGUGGCCUCUGGAAUCUUUACAUUAAUGUCACAUAAAAUUCACAGCUAAUUAUUGUCGACUCAGUUCAUAACAUUUCCACCUUUUCGGUAACUCUUCUUUUUUUACUCCACAGUCCGCCUGGUUAACAGUGAGGCUUUGUAACAGCAUAACUUUAACUAUGGCUACAGUUUAUUGGCUCCUAUUUUGGAAACUGACUCAUGCUGAACUAAUCCCCUUUCCCUGGGAGUUUAAAAUCAAGGUUAGGAGAUUUUUAACGUACCGACUGCUCUCCAACAGCAGCAUUAUAACCUUUGCUAUUUUUUUCCCUUGUAUUCUGAAAAUAGAAGAGAAAUACAGAAAACUCUCUGGGUUAUGUAUAGUGCACUAGAGUCUGGUACAGUUCAUGAGCAGCGUCUCUAUCUCUGGUUUCUGAGACAUCCUUGCAUCCUUAUAAUAAAUUCCUCUUUAACUUUAGAAAUUGUGUAAUUUUCUUUCUUUAAUUUUUAUUUAUUCAUUUAUUUUAUUUUAUUUUGAUGGACUCUCGCUCUGUCAGCCAGGCUGGAGUGGCACCCAGCCACUCUCGAUCUGUCACCCAUAUCUACAAUGGCGAGAUCUUGGCUCAUUGAACCUCUGUCUCCCAGGUUCAAGCGAUUCUCCUGCCUCAGCCUCCUGCCGAGCCUGCAGGUGCACCCCACCACACCUGGCUAAUUUUUGUAGAAAUUGUCUAAUUUUCCAUGUCACCAAUGAAUAAAAAAACGUACAUAGGGUUAGACAAGAUUAGAUCCUAUAAAAUGCACAAAACUUUAUUUUAAUAAUUUCAAUAAUAUUUAUUCAACCCACCCUUUAUAUCAUGACUUUAUGGCAUGCAUUAUGCAAGGUAUUGGGUAUAUAAACUCAGUCCCUGCCCUUCCAUGUAUUACAGUCUAUAGGGUACAUUUUAGACUGUGAGACUAUUGGUUUAAAUAUUAACUUCCAUCCAGAACCAAUUUCCUCCAAAACAUUCCACCUUGAAACAAUCAAUUGUGCCCAGAUUCUUAGGGUUGUAUAAGAACAUUGAUUCUUCCACAGUCAACAUAUGGCCUGAAGGGAGGGGAUGUCAGUUUCCAGAGCAAAGAAAAAGGGUCUGCUGGGCAAUCAUAUCAGUACCUACUACAUCUCUUCAAA